CACAGAGAGGUGUUGUGGUGUGUUUUGAGACAUAGAGAGGUGUUGUGGUGUGUUGGGAUACAUAGAGAUUUAUUGUGUGUGUUUGGAGACAUAGAGAGGUGUUGUGGAUUGUUGGGAGACAUAGAGAGGUGUUGUGGAUUGUUGGGAGCCAUAGAGAGGUGUUGUGGUGUGUUGGGAGACAGGGAGAGGUGUUGUGGUGUGUUUUGAGAGAGAGAGGUUUGUUGUGGUGUGUUUUGAGACAGAGAGGUUUGUUGUGGUGUCUUGGGAGACAUAGAGAGGUUUUGUUGUGUGUUGGGAGACAUAGAGAG
RNAcentral lists this long non-coding RNA (308 nucleotides) under Salmo salar (Atlantic salmon). RNAcentral's name for it is "lncRNA (ENSSSAG00000092678.1, ENSSSAG00000093009.1)". Lineage: Eukaryota; Metazoa; Chordata; Actinopteri; Salmoniformes; Salmonidae. The record is from RNAcentral.